CCCCCACCCCCCCUUCCGCGAGACCGAGAGAGAGAGAGGGAAGGAAGGAGAGAAAAGGGGGGGGGCAGCCCAGCCCCCGCGUCGUCCGAAGCCGAAGCUGCGCAGCGGUCCCGGCUCCUUGCCCGCGGCGUCGCGGGAAGGGCCGGCCGCCGGGGUCGGCCGUCGCCGCGGGGCGUCCCGCCUCUCCCCCCGCCGCGCGGCGGGCGGAGGCGGGUUAGCCCCGCGCCUGCGCGGUGCCGUUCCCCGCCCCAGGCGCCGCCGGGCCGCCACGUCGCCGGCCGCCGCCGCCGCCGCCGGCACGCCCGUCGCCGCCACGCCGCCGCCGCCGGCACGCCCGUGAUGCCGCUCCCGCGGGUCGGAGCGGUGAAAGGAGCCGGGGGCGGUCAGGGGUUGGCGGGGGCGGUCCCGCCGGCGGCGGGUCCGGGCGUCCGCGCGCUGGCGCGCCUUGGCGCGGCGCCGCCGUGGGUGGCGGC
Molecule: unclassified non-coding RNA, 473 nt
Filed under: Hirundo rustica gutturalis (Amur barn swallow)
Lineage: Eukaryota; Metazoa; Chordata; Aves; Passeriformes; Hirundinidae
Description: partial external transcribed spacer
Source: RNAcentral